CUGGGAGCUGUCUGGCAGAACAGCUUGGAUUCCACGAGGUGCCACAUGCCAUCUUUUUCCACCAAUCCUGGCAGUGGGAGGUUAUAUUUAAAACCCAGCUUUGGAUGUGGUGAACUAUAGUUGAAUUUGGCCUCAGUGCACAGACAUGUUUGGAUAAAAUGUACCAGUUUUUGUUGAGACUCACUGCUUGAGCAAUGCACAGGAUUCAUGCUUCUUUUCUGAUUUGCUUGGAAUUCUUCUCAGAAGAUUUUCUCAAACAGAAGAAAAUUCAAGGAUCGUAUCCAUUUUGGGAAUCUUUGGAGGACACAAAGCUGUCCAACAGGAAAAGGGAUGAACUUUCAAGAUUUCCUGGAGCCCAGAGAAACCAUCAACUCUGACUUCUACAUCACAAUGCUGACUAAGCUGAAGGUUUGAACUUCAAGAGUCAGGCCAGAGAAGAAGACAACCUUUGUCUUAUAACACAAUAACACCAAACCCAACACCAGUUUGAAGACUGUGGAACACACUGUCAAUCUGGGGUGGGUUGUCCUACCACACCCACCAUAUUUUCUUGGACUUGGCAUCUUCUGAUUUCCAUUUGUAUGGGCUGAUGAAAGAUGGACAGCAUGAACAAUAUUUUCCUAUCUACAACACUGUCAAGCAGCUGUGAAACAGUGGGUCACCUCUGCAAGUGCAGAUUUUAUGAGUGUGGCAUGCAGGCUCUUGUUCAU
Non-coding RNA from Meleagris gallopavo (turkey), 710 nucleotides. Lineage: Eukaryota; Metazoa; Chordata; Aves; Galliformes; Phasianidae. The record is from RefSeq and is a predicted model, not a curated record.